AGCGCGUCUGAUUUGAUGCUUGCAUUAAUGAAAGAUGAGCGGCGGACGGGUGAGUAACGCGUGGGUAACCUGCCCUAUACACAUGGAUAACAUACUGAAAAGUUUACUAAUACAUGAUAAUAUAUAUUUACGGCAUCGUAGAUAUAUCAAAGUGUUAGCGGUAUAGGAUGGACCCGCGUCUGAUUAGCUAGUUGGUGAGAUAACUGCCCACCAAGGCGACGAUCAGUAGCCGACCUGAGAGGGUGAUCGGCCACAUUGGAACUGAGACACGGUCCAAACUCCUACGGGAGGCAGCAGUGGGGAAUAUUGCACAAUGGGCGCAAGCCCGAUGCAGCAACGCCGCGUGAACGAUGAAGGUCUUCGGAUCGUAAAGUUCUGUUGCAGGGGAAGAUAAUGACGGUACCCUGUGAGGAAGCCCCGGCUAACUACGUGCCAGCAGCCGCGGUAAUACGUAGGGGGCGAGCGUUGUCCGGAAUUACUGGGCGUAAAGGGUUCGCAGGCGGCAUGGCAAGUCCGAUGUAAAAGGCGAAGGCUCAACCUUCGUAAGCAUCGGAAACUGUCAAGCUUGAGUGAAGGAGAGGCAAGUGGAAUUCCUAGUGUAGCGGUGGAAUGCGUAGAUAUUAGGAGGAAUACCGGUGGCGAAGGCGACUUGCUGGACUUCAACUGACGCUGAGGAACGAAAGCGUGGGUAGCAAACAGGAUUAGAUACCCUGGUAGUCCACGCCGUAAACGAUGAGUGCUAGGUGUCGGGGGUCAUACCUCGGUGCCGCCGUUAACACAAUAAGCACUCCGCCUGGGGAGUACGUGCGCAAGC
This 814-nucleotide ribosomal RNA is filed under the name uncultured Clostridia bacterium. RNAcentral's name for it is "bacterial SSU rRNA". It matches the Rfam family "Bacterial small subunit ribosomal RNA", at positions 65 to 893 of the family's 1533-position model. The record is from RNAcentral. Lineage: Bacteria; Bacillati; Bacillota; Clostridia.